GAUGAACGCUGGCGGCGUGCCUAAUACAUGCAAGUCGAGCGAACAGACGAGGAGCUUGCUCCUUCGACGUUAGCGGCGGACGGGUGAGUAACACGUAGGUAACCUACCUAUAAGACUGGGAUAACUUCGGGAAACCGGAGCUAAUACCGGAUAAUAUUUCGAACCGCAUGGUUCGAUAGUGAAAGAUGGCUUUGCUAUCACUUAUAGAUGGACCUGCGCCGUAUUAGCUAGUUGGUAAGGUAACGGCUUACCAAGGCAACGAUACGUAGCCGACCUGAGAGGGUGAUCGGCCACACUGGAACUGAGGCACGGUCCCGACUCCUACGGGAGGCCGCAGUAGGGAAUCUUCCGCCAUGGGCGAAAGCCUGACGGAGCAACGCCGCGUGAGUGAUGAAGGUCUUCGGAUCGUAAAACUCUGUUAUUAGGGAAGAACAAACGUGUAAGUAACUGUGCACGGCUUGACGGUACCUAAUCAGAAAGCCACGGCUAACUACGUG
Molecule: ribosomal RNA, 497 nt
Filed under: uncultured bacterium
Lineage: Bacteria
Description: partial 16S ribosomal RNA
Rfam family: Bacterial small subunit ribosomal RNA
Source: RNAcentral